GGCCACUCGAGCGACGCCAAGAGGAUCCUGAAAAAGCACGAGAUCGGCACUCUCGUCGAGUCGUCAAAUGAAAACAACGCGAUGGCCAACGUCACUUGCGCCGGUCGCGCAAGCGGUGAUGCCAUCACCACUGCCACCGACAGUCGACCCAAUAAACGGCGCAGGAAUAUCCUGAGCGCCAUACUCGGGCCUUGC
Molecule: long non-coding RNA, 195 nt
Organism: Copidosoma floridanum
Lineage: Eukaryota; Metazoa; Arthropoda; Insecta; Hymenoptera; Encyrtidae
Source: RefSeq, a predicted model, not a curated record